UAGUAAUAGUUAAAGCUGCCAUGUUUUAGGAAAGAGAUACAUCGAAAGAAGUGUGGAGAGGAUUAUUGGGGAAUAUUGUAAGAAGGGCUCUUGUCCUCGUUGGCUCGUCCUUAUGUUCACUGGACUCCUCGAGCUUGCUCAACAACUUGGCCUACACUUUUUUUUCUCUACUCGAGUUAAGCAAAUGAUAAACGACUUGUUCUUCCGACGCCAAGAGAUUCUCGACCAGGAAUUGCUCGUUGAUGGCCGUUGCAACCGGCAGCCUUUACUUGCAUACCUCGAGGUAUUGCCAUUGACAUUAUACACUGAAAAUCAAGAAGACAUCAUUGGGAAACUCGAUAAUUUAGAUGGCUCUUAGUGUCAAUCACCUUCAGCAACUGCAGCAGCGUUUAUGCUCUCACGCCAUACAAAAUGUCUGGCUUAUCUGCAAUCUCUAGUUCAGAGAUGCCCUCAUGGAGUGCCACAAAUUUACCCCCUGAAUGAAGAAUUCAUCAAGCUCUCUUUGGUCAAUAUAAUGGACAACUUCGGGUUAGGAGAGUACUUCAGUAAAGAGAUUGAACAUUUUCUUCUUCAAAUUCACAAGUGAGG
Molecule: long non-coding RNA, 588 nt
Organism: Brassica oleracea var. oleracea
Lineage: Eukaryota; Viridiplantae; Streptophyta; Magnoliopsida; Brassicales; Brassicaceae
Exons: 3
Source: RefSeq, a predicted model, not a curated record